This 87-nucleotide transfer RNA is filed under the name Ralstonia pseudosolanacearum. RNAcentral's name for it is "tRNA-Glu". Lineage: Bacteria; Pseudomonadati; Pseudomonadota; Betaproteobacteria; Burkholderiales; Burkholderiaceae. The record is from RNAcentral.
CGUUGGCUGGCGCGGGGGCGCCGUUGUUUCUCAAACGCCGCGCUCAGUGCGCCGCCCAUUGAAUGCUGUUCAGAUCCACGCCGUCCU